GACGAACGCUGGCGGCGUGCUUAACACAUGCAAGUCGAACGGAAAGGCCCUGCUUUUGUGGGGUGCUCGAGUGGCGAACGGGUGAUUAACACGUGAGUAACCUGCCCUUGACUUUGGGAUAACUUCAGGAAACUGGGGCUAAUACCGGAUAGGAGCUCCUGCUGCAUGGUGGGGGUUGGAAAGUUUCGGCGGUUGGGGAUGGACUCGCGGCUUAUCAGCUUGUUGGUGGGGUAGUGGCUUACCAAGGCUUUGACGGGUAGCCGGCCUGCGAGGGUGACCGGACAAAUUGGGACGGAGAUACGGCCCAGACUACUACGGGAGGCAGCAGUGGGGAAUAGUGCACAAGGGGCGGAAGCCUGAUGCAGCAACGCCGCGUGGGGGAUGACGGCCUUCGGGUUGUAAACCGCUUUCGCCUGUGACGAAGCGUGAGUGACGGUAAUGGGUAAAGAAGCACCGGCUAACUACGUG
Molecule: ribosomal RNA, 468 nt
Filed under: uncultured bacterium
Lineage: Bacteria
Description: partial 16S ribosomal RNA
Rfam family: Bacterial small subunit ribosomal RNA
Source: RNAcentral